This 180-nucleotide ribosomal RNA is filed under the name uncultured Glomeromycotina. RNAcentral's name for it is "partial small subunit ribosomal RNA". The stretch from base 88 to 180 matches the Rfam family "Eukaryotic small subunit ribosomal RNA", at positions 735 to 830 of the family's 1831-position model. Lineage: Eukaryota; Fungi; Glomeromycota. The record is from RNAcentral.
UCUUUGGCCGCUCGGUCCGCCUAACCGCGUGCACUGAUGUGGCCGAUGACUUCCUUCUGGCUAACCUCAUGCCCUUUACUGGGUGUGUUGGGGAUCCAGGACUUUUACUUUGAAAAAAUUAGAGUGUUUAAAGCAGGCUCGCGCUUGAAUACAUUAGCAUGGAAUAAUGAAAUAGGACGU